CAGAGCUAAAAGUAUUCUGAAUGUAAUUAUAUUCUAUUGUUUCUUCCCCUUUUCUAGGACAUGCUCCAGCUCCCCCUGGGAAGACUAAUUCUAUUACAAGGCUUUAGAAAAUGGAUCCUCUGCGUUAAGCUAAGGGCUCCCCUGAUCUCAGUCAUUUUUCUAUUCCACUUUCCAGCAGCCAGAGUUCUGUUCCAAGAAGCCCCUUCCUUGCUGCUCUGAUUAAGCCAUGAACAACAGGCUUCUUUGGGGUGUGAUUAUUUGUUUCCUGAGACCAGGUCUCCUGGAUGGCAAAGAUGCUGGAAUCACCCAAACCCCAAGAAAUCUAAUCACAGGAAUAGGACAGAAUGUGAUGCUGAAAUGUAAACAGAAUUUGGGACAUGAAACCAUGUACUGGUAUCGUCAGGAUCUGGGCCAGGAGCUUAAGCUCAUUUAUUUCUCAAUAACACGAGGUGAUAUUCAGAAAGGAGACAUUCCCAAAGGAUACAAUGUCACACGGAAAGAAAAGGAGAUAUUUGCUCUCCUCAUGCCCUCAGCCAGCACCAAACAAACAUCUUUUUAUCUCUGUGCCACCAGUCUAUACACAGUAAAGCAAAGUUAACUCUUCUCCAUGCAGAAACCUCCUUCA
Non-coding RNA from Sarcophilus harrisii (Tasmanian devil), 625 nucleotides. The record is from the annotation of a RefSeq genome assembly. NCBI's taxonomy places the organism in Eukaryota, Metazoa, Chordata, Mammalia, Dasyuromorphia, Dasyuridae.